CAUUCUGAGGUGCUAGGAGUUAGGAAUUUAACAUGUUUUUUUUAGCGGGAGACAGGAAGGGAGACACAUUCAAUGCAUAAUGGAGAAGAAGUUUUAUGAUGGAAACAGUACAUGAAGUUCUUAGCUGCUCAUUAGGCAUUUAGUUUAUGGUUAUUUUAAGUUUCAUAUUGCUAUAUGUUUAUUUCCUACUUCAUUUUACAGAGGAUUGGACACAGCUUGAAGAAACACAUACAAUGAGUCCCAGAACUGGGGAGGCCAUCAGAUGUGUUGCUGACACAUGCAUAACCCAGAGUGAAGUCAAAUCGUUACUGUGGAUGAAGAAGUGUCUCACUGGGACAGAACAGGAUCUCAC
Molecule: long non-coding RNA, 352 nt
Filed under: Aotus nancymaae (Ma's night monkey)
Lineage: Eukaryota; Metazoa; Chordata; Mammalia; Primates; Aotidae
Description: lncRNA (ENSANAG00000038937.1)
Source: RNAcentral